RNAcentral lists this ribosomal RNA (238 nucleotides) under uncultured bacterium. Its description in RNAcentral is "partial 16S ribosomal RNA". It matches the Rfam family "Bacterial small subunit ribosomal RNA", at positions 333 to 563 of the family's 1533-position model. The record is from RNAcentral.
UUGGCCCUACGGGGGGCAGCAGUAGGGAAUCUUCCACAAUGGACGAAAGUCUGAUGGAGCAACGCCGCGUGAGUGAAGAAGGGUUUCGGCUCGUAAAGCUCUGUUGGUAGUGAAGAAAGAUAGAGGUAGUAACUGGCCUUUAUUUGACGGUAAUUACUUAGAAAGUCACGGCUAACUACGUGCCAGCAGCCGGGGUAAUACGUAGGUGGCAAGGGUUGUCAGGAUUUAUUUGGGGUAA